UUUUUAUGAAAAAAAUGGAAAUUGAAACAACAUUAAGGCAAAACCCUAGAGGAACAUGCUCCCCUUAGGUCAGAGUCGAGAAGUAAACUAAUACUAAUUGGGAAUAAGAGCGAGGAUUGUGUUAUUCACUUGUCUAAUUCAUGUUUGGAUCGAUAAAGCAAUUUGAAACAAAAUUGAAGAUCGAGGUGCCCACAAUGCCCCCCCUGAC
This 208-nucleotide long non-coding RNA is filed under the name Trifolium pratense (red clover). RNAcentral describes it as "long non-coding RNA (TPRA_LNC012168)". Lineage: Eukaryota; Viridiplantae; Streptophyta; Magnoliopsida; Fabales; Fabaceae. The record is from RNAcentral.